RNAcentral lists this long non-coding RNA (41636 nucleotides) under Sorghum bicolor (sorghum). RNAcentral's name for it is "long non-coding RNA (SBIC_LNC018406)". The stretch from base 23840 to 23948 matches the Rfam family "MIR5565 microRNA precursor family". The record is from RNAcentral. Lineage: Eukaryota; Viridiplantae; Streptophyta; Magnoliopsida; Poales; Poaceae.
AGAAAAAUUGAGAAAGUAGAGUUGAGAGAAAUACAAUAAUUACUGUAAAGAAUCAGAUGUCAAAAGAACACUAUUAUUAGUACAGUAGUUACUGUGAACUAAUAAGAUGCGGUAAGUAACAUCUGAGCUUUGUCUCAUAGGCGAACAGAGUGAAUAGCAUUCCGAGUGCUAGAAAAUUAAAGCAGAUCUGUCAUCUGUGUUGUUGGCAAGUGAGCCCACAGAGUGUACAAUAAAAAUGACUUCAAACCUAAUCAUAGCAACAAAGUAAACUUAUUCAUUCUUAACUUUAGAUUUAACGUCGGAUGGGGUGUGUGUUUGGGGGUGGGUUGGGGAGCUAAAUUACCAUGCAUAGCACAGAAAUAAGCAGAAAUUGAAAUAUGCAGGAAAUAGAUUACCUUAGAAAUUAACAGUGUCUUGCUGAGGACAAACUUUGACUGAUUGAUUGAUUGAACGGUUUAGUCAGACCAAUCGUUGCGACGUCACCACGACACCACCACCGGGGAUUCCGUCCGGAACCAACAACGGCAACCAUCAGCGCAAAGCUUCGCCAGUCUUUCAGAUCCGGGAAACUAAAGAAGCAACGACAAGUCGCCGAGCGCGCUGUUUCUCGGUCGGUCACUUCGUUCUUCUCGACCAAUCUAGUAUUCUAGUUGAAAUUCUCGAUCGAUCUUGUUGCUUUGCAUAUGCUGAUAAUGCCCGCCAGCUGCAGGUUUGCUCGCUUUUUGCCGCAACGCCAAAGCAAAGCCCAGCAGGAGGAGCGAGGCUGAUGCGCGGUCGGUGUUGCCCCCCCCCCCCCCCCCCCCCCCUCCCCCCCCAUGGCAGCUUUGCUUCCUGCACAAAGGAAGAAUAAAACAACUAAACAAAAAUGUAAUCAUAAAUAAAGAAAUUUAAGACUGAUUUUUGAAGAGAAGAUAGAUCAGAGGGGAAUCGAGUUACAUACCAGUUUCCAUAUAACUUCUUCUUUGAUGAAGAGUAAACAUAUAUAUCUCCAUAUAUAUAGGGGCAAACAAAUCAAGAGGAUCGAUGAGAUAUCUUUCCAUGGGAGCGGGCCGGCCGGCCGGAAAAACAAAGAUCAAGGGGAGGAACAAGCUCUCUCGCUCCCUCUCCCUCUCCCUCUUUGCUUGAGAGGCAAUAUAUGCAAGGAAACCCUAGAUAUGAUGAGGAAGCUAGCUUCAUUUGGACGAAGAAGCUGAUAAGAAUAAGAAAGAGAUAAGGGUGUGAUGAGGCUGCUGCCUGGCUCUUCAGAGCUUCCAAGAGGCCAUCCACCAGCUUAGUACUAUAUUAGGCAGCUGAGGACGAAGUAGAUUGUGAGUGAGCUAACCCUAAUUACAGCUCUUCUUAACACAGAAGAGGGCGAAAUAAAAGUUAUAAAACUAUUCGUCGAGAUGCGCGCAUCCACUUCGAGAUGCCAUUUGAGGUACACGGCACUGACAGCAAAAUUGAAACACCAGCUGGCGUAUUCGGACCUCUGGCAAUAAUAACGAUGCGCCUUUUGUACAGGUCCACGCAUCAUGUGCGCCCCCCAUCCGUGCAGUGUGGGCGCGGUGGCACGCAUGCAGCAACACCACUCGCGACGUGGCAGACAGCAAUACAGCAUGCCAACAUCAGUGGUCAUUCAUAAGUCAUAACAAGGUCCGACUUCCUCCGUAUAUCGAGAUUUAAAUUUUAAAAACUUUAAUUAAUAAUUAAAAUAAUAUUUUUAACAAUUAUAAUAUUAACUUAUAUAUUAGAUUUACAAAGAAUUGUAUUAUUCAAUGAUUAUAAGGUCAUAAAUAUAAAUAAUAUAAUAUAAAGUAAAUAAAUUGUCAAAGUAUAAUCUACGAGAUCAUGUUGUUCUAACUUAUGCCAGAUAAAAUUAACCAGAGAGAGUAACUAUUAGGUUUUAUUUAUCAUAGUUUAGCUUCACUAUAUAAGCUAUUUUCUUCUUUUUGUAAAAUGAUUUUAUGAACAACUUUUUUUAUUAAAGCUAAGCUAUUUUGGAAUAAGUAUUUAGUAAAACAACUUCACAUAAUAGAAUAAAUACUCCCUCGUCUUGUAAUAUAGUGCAUUACAUUUUUAAUUUGUCCUCAAAUAUAAGACAUUUUAGAAGACAAAAAGCAAUUUUGCAUUAAAUACUUUAUAUUUAUCAACCAAUCACCACUAUCGUGUUGAUGAUAGUGUUUUAUUAGAAAAAAAGUGAGGGCACAUGUGUCCUUUAUGAUCUCUCUUAAACUGUUCUAACAUGUCUAAAAUACACUAUAUUACAGGACUAAGAGGACAUGAGAUGAAGCUAAGAUAAACUACCUUUUCUAGCUUUAUGCCAAUUCAUAUCUUUGUGAGAGGAAAAACAACUUUACGCAUGAAACUGUUUUAGAAAUGAGUGUUUAGCAAAAAAAAACAGCUCACAACAACUCAUAAAAACGUUGUGAGUUGUGCCAAGCAAGCUUAGUUGGUUAGUCCAAUUAAUAAGAUAUAGUACGUUGUUAGCUAGAUAUUAGCUAACAAUUAGCUAAAUUGUUAGUUGAAUUUGUAUAGAUUUAAAGAAGCUAAUUACUAGCAGCUAAUUGUUACCUAUAUUGAUCUAAAUUAAUUAACUAUUCCCAAAUAUGUAAAUAGAUCCCUCCCACACAGCUAAAGAUUAGCUAUGAUAAUAGCUAAUUGUUAGUUUAAUGGUAGGUGAGACAUUAGUUAAUUAUUACCUACAUUACCGUGCUUUGGCAAUGUGCAUUAGAGCAUCUUCAAGAGACUAGAUAAAAUUAUAUUCUCAACUACAAGAUUUAGCCAUUGUGUAAAAUAAAAACUCAUCCAAAGCAUAAAGUUCCACAACAAAAUUUGUAUAGGAUAGCUAGUGGGGACGACAUGUUAUAUAUGACAAGCGAAAGUUUAGAAAUAGCAAACUUGCUAUUUUAGCAAACCAAAUAACACAUCUGUUAGACCUUAAUUUUGCUUUGAAAAUGUAAAAAUAGUCUAAAUAACAUUGAUAGCAUAUUUGUUGAAGUUGCUCUUAUUGGCAACAGCUACAUUACAUCCCUCAUGAUCGGAAGAGAGUAACAGUUGCAAUAUAUCCAUUUUUCAUCACCUAAUAACCAAUAAAAUAACACGAUGUCACAUCUGAUAUACACAGGGAAAACAGAUUUGGAGUGCGAUCGAAUAACACCGUACCUCGAAAGCAAUAUUCUGAUAUCCACAUAUACAAAAGUCGAUCCAAAUGGAUUGUUCAUGGACCCUUGUGUCUGGAUUGCAGCUCGGCCACAAUCAUCGAGGAUCUCCUCAUACAGUAAAAACAAGGGUUGUUUAAAGGACAGAAAAAAAAAGGCAUAAAAGCAUGCAGGCAUAUUGGCAUUUGGCACUCGAGGCAUUGCUCCAUAGACCUUUAAUUCUUCAAACGAAGGCGUUGUUUAGGUCACAACGUUUUUGAAUUUUGACAUUGUAGUACUUUCGUUUUUAUUUGACAAAUGUUGGCCAAUCACGAAGUAACUAGGUUUAAAAAUUUAGUCUCGCGAUUUACAGCCAAACUGUAUAAUUAGUUUUUAUUUUUAUGUAUAUUUAAUGCUCGAUGCAUGUGCCGCAAGAUUCGAUAUGACGAAAAAUCUUAAAAAGUCUUUGGUUUUUUGGAUGAACUAAACAAGGCCCAAUCACCCUUUGGCCUCUUCAAACCAAGUUAACCACUAUACGAAGCUAUUGAUCUGUUGUAUUUGUUACAGCUUAUAUUAUAAAGCUUUUAAUAGAUGUAUAUUCUCAUUUGUGCAGUUUAUUCGCCAUACCGAUUACGUUAAUUAUGCAACCUUCAAUAUACUCCAGCAGCUUGUUGUUAAGCUGAGAUUCUGUACAAUGAACUGAUUCGCAGAAAAACUGGAACCAAUAUCAAACUACUGGACGAAUCACAUCUGUACUCACAUGAGACGUAUAACUAAGAAACAACGUUCCAUUAGGCGACCACAUGGCAGUAUGUAUAUACAUUUUCUUUCAACAAAUAAAGACCAUUUAUGUACACAAGGUGAGGUCACAGAGUACAGUUAGUUCUGGUACAAUGAGCGGCAUAUCUACAGCACAAUUACAUGCCACGGUGUUAAUCCAUAUCGACUGGGAGGCUGCAUCGCAUUCCAUAAACCAAGCAUCGUCAGAAGGCUCCAUAGAGUUGGCUUCGGCUUGAAAUUGCUGCUGCGCUGAAGCACAAGUACACCUUCUUUCUGUAGGUUACCCAGCUUUGUUGUCUAUGCAGCAAAAAUUCAGAGCAGCAACACAUGUAGCACACUGUCAAAAUGGAAGACUUUGACAGUUAACUUAGUCCAUGCUCCUCAAUGACCAAACAUAGCAUACCCGCGCUUCGGCGAUGUGCAUUAUGGGCAAAAACUGCAUUACAUACCUCAUGACUGGAAGAGAGUAACAGUUGCAAUAUAUCCAUUUUUCAUCACCUAAUAACCGAUAAAAUAACACGAUGUCACAUCUGAUAUACACAGGGAAAACAGAUUUGGAGUGUGAUCGAGUAACACCCACCUCGAAAGCAAUAUUCUGAUAUCCAUAUACAAAAGUCGAUCCAAAUGGAUUGUUCAUGGAGCCUUGUGUCUGGAUUGCAGCUCGGCCACAAUCACCGAGGAUCUCCUAAUACAGUAAAAACAAGGGUUGUUUAAAGGACAGAAAAAAAUUGGCAUAAAAGCAUGCAGUAAGAUAGCAUAUUGGCAUUUGGCACUGGAAGCGUUGCUUCAUUGAUGAUACAGCUUAGAGCAAUAUCUACUUAAAAGGUAAGUGCUCUAGAACAAGCAAAGGCAAAGCUGAAUUCUUAGUGCAAGAAAUUAGUGUGACUAUGCUAACAAACCAACUACGCAAAAGAAAACCUAGUAGAUCAUUUAGCCUUGAAUAAGUUUACCAUUCACAGUUUAAGAACUAAGAAGGAUGAAAAGGACUCGUGAAACAAGAUGCAAAAAGGGGUGUGCAAAAAUUGUUACAAAUGGCAUUUCAAAGCAAAGAUGAUAACUUUAGAACUACAUGGCAAAAAUCAAACAGCAUUCUGAAGCCAAAUAAGACAUCAAGGACUACCAGUUGUACCAUCAGCAGUGUUAAUAAGUCAUGUAAAACACCAUACCUUCACUUGUUCCCAUUUUGUACUAGGCAUUAUGCAAUUUUUUGAGACAUUACCAGGCUGAACUGUACCUUCAGCUGAAAAAAACCAGAUGGAUGAUUGGAUUGGAUUAUUCCAUCAAAACAAACUAUUUUUUUAUUACGAGUAGUUCAGACCUUCAGCGUCAUAUAUAACAAAGUUGCAUUUCUUAUAUGAGUUGAAAUCUGAAUGACCAGGGAAGUUUGUGUGCAAAACAAACUUCUUUAUCUUAUGUGUCUGCAAGGACAAUAAACUCUGUCAAUAUGCUAUUUCAAGUCCAAGCCAAUAAAAAAAAAGCUAUUUACAGUGUUGCACAAUCCUAGUGUGAUGAAAUACUCCACACCUGUCCAUCAAAUAAGAUAUCAAUUCCACGCGAGAAGUAGUUGUAGAAGUAAUCACCACAAAGUGUUGUACGAGGCCGGGGUUCUGAUGCAGAGUGUAUGACCAUUUGAUCCACCUACAAGAGGGAGACCUAACAUAGUAAGCAUUCCAGUUGAGAAUGCACCAAUGAUUCCAGGGAGAAUGGCAUUCCUUCAUACUGAUCUUGACCAAGCAAAACUUAAUCAUAUGCUACAGAAAUACUGCUUAGUCUCACACUCUCAAUAGCUUUGUAUAGGCUAAAGUAUUAUCUACAUGCUUCCAUGAGUAAGCAAAAAAAAGUAAAUUCUCAUGGAAACCAAUUCAGUUUAGCUUAUGUCAUAUGUUACAUAAUGUUGGCAACUCAAAGAAAUACAUAUUAUGUGAAAUCUCUACUCUGGUGCCUCAAUUAAAACUGACCUGCUUCUGAUGGAUACCACAAGGACGACCCAAUUCAGUCCAGACAUCCUGAAAAAAGAAAUUCAAGCAAAAGACAAAUCAGGGCCAAUGUUAAAGUUAAACUUUACUUCAGCAAAUAGAUAUGAUAUGCACCUGUGGUGAUGCACCAAAAGGAAUAUGCUGGCCCCCUAUUGUGAACCAAAGUUCUUCUCCAAGCUGAAAACAGUACAAAAUUAUACACAUAUAAGAAAAAUGUUUGCUCCAUUGGUAAGACUUGGUAAGACAAAACAACAUACAAAAAACCCCAAUUUAUCCAUAUACACGAAGAUACUAGUUAUUGUAUGAUUCUCCCUAACGCAACAAAGCAAAAAAAUAUAUUUUUUAUUCAACAUUAAAAAAGAGUCUCUAAAACAACCACACAUUGAAAGGCAUAUCCCACGACCAGCUUUUUCUUCAUUUUAUUUUGCUUAAUAGGUUCAUACAUUUCCUAAGAAAAGAGGUGCAUGGGUGGGUGGGGACAGGACUGGAGAGCUAAGAGGUCAAACUAGAUAGUCUGGAUCACUUGGAUUAUGAAGCAUCAAAAUAUGUCUUCAGCUUCAACAAAACCAGUAAGCCAGAAAAUUGUCAAGAAACCAAAAACAUGGCAUACCUUGGCGUGCACCUCCUCCAUAUACAGACUGCCUGCAGGCAGUGCAGGUACCACUGCUUUGUCCAUCAAAGAUCCAACCCCGACCUUGCUAUCUGUCGAGCUGUCGUAUAUACAAACCCGGCAAGUAACAGGGGUCGUUCCGUCUGGGAAUUCCAGGGGCAAAUCUGCCACUGCCAUAGCAAUUACAGAAGUGGGGUAAGAUGUCACAUAAACAUGGGUACUAAUAGAACAUUCACAACUGAAUUGGCUCUAAGGUAGAAUACCUUCCCCAUUGGUGAAUAGAUUUGUAUAUUGGCUGGGAAUAGGGAAUGCAAAGGAUAAACCCUACAAAAAAGCUUACCAGUAAGACCAACAGACUAAGAGAAAGAAAACAAGAUGAACUGCAAAAGAGGGAAGAAAAACAGAGCUAUUUUUCAUGACAUACUGGGUAGAACAACGUAUAAAUUCCCCUCUCUUUGUCAUAUAUACCAGGGAAAGUAGGUCCAAAGAGUGCAUACACAGCCGCAAAAGUGGCUAAUGUUGACGGGCCACUGAAAGUGAAAAAGAAAAUAAUCAGUAACACCACACAACCUUGUGCUGAAGGGUUAAUGUAACUGAGCGCAACAACAUAUCUGAACAGGGUUUAUUUGAGUACUUCCACUGUUUCACACAGAUUUAACAAUGAAAGAUCAUGGUCACAAGAUCCUUACCCAAUUAAAGCUGUCGCAUAUCGCAAUUGCAAUCUCUUAACAUCAUAAAUUUCUACAAGACGGAGUCUCUGCAAGGAUAAUACAAACCAUAUAAGUUUAGUAAUUUCUGAAGCCUGAAAACAAGUGUCAUUUCCACACAGCACACAUUCUCAAAUAUUCUUUUCCCCAUACAUAAAUUAGAAUUAUUAACCAUGAUGAGUUCCUUUUCUCAAUUACCCUCAUUAUAUUUCCUAUAUUUCAAGCAUAACAUACUCAAAAAUAACAGCAGCAAACCCUUUUAGCCACAAGAGUUGGGGUAGGCUAAUGCAUAACACACCCCAAUUUGAGUUUGCAAAAGUGGUCCACUAUAGUCUUAAUUAAUCGCCAUGAGCAACUGAUUUCUCAUGCAUUCAACGCUGGCUGUUUCAAAACAAAAAAUGCCUAUAAUGUACUCCCUCCAUCCCAAAUUAUAAGUCAUUCCAAGAAUCUUGGAAAGUCAAAGCAUCUCAAGUUUGACCAAAUUUUAUAGGAUAAGAUAACAACAUUUAUGAUACCAAUUAAGUAUUAUUAGGUUCUUCAUUAAUUAUAUUUUCAUAGUAUAUCUAUUUGAUGUCAUAUUUUUUGUAAUUUUUUCUAUAAUUUUGGUUAAACUUGAGAGACUUUGACUCUCCAAGAUUCUUGGAAUGACAUAAUUUGGAAUGGAGGGAGUAACAAACUAGCCCGAGCAUACCUGCGACCAAGGAUCAAAGCGUAGGUGAAAUCCAUGGUCUGGAAAGCUAAUGACAAAGUCCAGCUUGAGAGGCUCCUGAAAACCCAACCAACAACACCGAUCAGCUAAUAAUAUUUUGGUAUCCCUGGACCCUGGCAUCCGACAAACUCGUGCACCUCGUCUCACAAACCUCGUCGAAGUACUUCACGUGGACAACGUCGUAGAUAUUUGGCUGGCGCUCUAUCUGCGCAAACGCAUCGGAGAUCGGCAUCCCUGCACCGAUUGCGACCUCCCAAGUCAGAAUUGGCUCAAAGUUUGAAAAAUUUAACUAACCUCUUGCUUAAAGUCCUUUUUUCCCUCCCGUCCAAACCGAGAGGAAAGCAAAGGAAGCAACCAACGACCGCCGUUUCCUGCCGGGGCGGCGGGCGGUGGGUGGUUAGGGUUCUCACCGAGGGUGAAGGGGCCGACGCCGAGGCCGGGGCGGAGGUCAAGCGUGAUGGCUCCCAUGGCCGUGCCCUCGCACCGCCGCCGCACUGGCACCGUUCCCUGGGACGGCAUCCCAACCGCCGCCCCCGCCGCCGCAGCCGCUGCCACCGCCGCGGCGCCGCCACCCCCCGCCAUCGACGGUGACCUCUGCGCCUGCAUCCUGAGGCCCACCUCGCGGCCUCCCCUCCUUACUCCUCGACGGCUUAUUCCUCGGCGUGCUGCUGGGCUCGACUCGAUGGGAUUCGCGUGGGAUUGCGUCCACUCCACCACCAUCUCUCGCGCGGUGCGGUGCGGUGCGGGCUUCUUUAGCUUAACGAGAAACCAACGCGGGAGUUGGCUGCGUAUGACACGCGGGUCCGGAGCCGUCAGUGGCUGUAGCCUAGAAGUGGGGCCCGGAUGUCGGCGGGAGGAUCGCCGUGUGCACCUGCGUCGUCGCCUCAGGCCUUUUGCGCCGGAUUACGUGCGGCGGCGGAGGAACCCGUCGCGCGGCAAGUAGGUGGCCGGCGGGACACGUGGCGGACUCGUAGCGGAGGGCACUGCCUGUUUGCUGCGAGCGGCGAGUCGCGUAGGCCUGCUUCUGCUUCUGGUUUGGAGUUCGCGUUAGGAUCGGCUCCAAAGGCCCGGUUUAGUUUUCAAAAAAAAUCAAAAUUUUCCAUCAGACACAUACAUAAAUUAUUAAAUAAAAAAUAAAAAAAAUUAAGUAUACAGUUUGGUAUACAGUUUGCCUGUAAUUUACGACAUAAAUCUCCUAAACCUAGUUAAUUCAUGGUUAGACAAUAAUUGUCAAGCCGAAUUCGAGUCCAGAUUUCAGGAGGGGGAAAAAAGAAACUACAGAAAACGUGAAAAUGCAGCAGAAAAGCCGAAGAAAAAUUGGGGAGACGUAGCUCGUCAGUUUAAACUGCAUGACAAAGAUAGCAUAGUUCCAUUUUAUGACAGCAAACAUCACUUGAAUAUGCACUAGAUGUAGAGCACAUGGUUAUCAGAACAAGGAAAUGACAUGCAUGGAUGGAGUCCAGUAAUUUUCGUUCUUAUUUCUCGUACAACAACUCAAUUAAACAGGAAGUGAUUUGGAAUUCUGGAAGUUCUGCCCCGCUCGCAGGACUCUUGUUUACUGGUCCUCCUUGCCAUAAUUGUAGAUGAUCUCGAUCUACAAGACACAAUUGCCAUUAGUACAACAUUUUGGUGUACAGAAUCUACUACCCGAAAACAGUUUAGCAAUGCUAAAUGCUAGAACCAGAACAAGAUAAUGUCGCCAUAAAAAAUGAAGUCAUUUUGUAAACUCUACUAUGUAGCAUCCAAGUAGAGGAAAGCCUGUUAUGAAAAACUACCUUUGUGAGCAAAUCAGUAUGGGAACUUGGGAAGGAUAUUGUGGCCAUCGAAGAUGUAGUCAUUUUGUAAACUCUAAGCUAGUAAUAUGAUACUACACAGCAGUUGUUUGGCAGGGUUGACCCCAUCACGCCCAAGUAGAGGAUAUUCAAUUAUGAAAUAAUUGUAAAACUAACUACCUUUGCAAGCAAAUCAGUUAAAGUUCCUAAGAUGAAUUUACAGUUUUGGCCAAAGCACUACAACUAAUAAUCCACUAACAACAAAUAAUAGCUCUGGCUCGCUUGUCCAUUGAGAAAUUACAGAUGAAACCUUAAGUACUGCUACUUUUUUGCGUUCAAAUUAAGUUAGCUUAAACAACGAACAUUAUACCUUUUUUAGACGAUCACAGGAGAAAAAGACAAGCAAAAUAUUACGAAUGGUAAGCAUUGUGGUGAAUCUUUAGCAUAAGGCAAAUAUAUUACAUAGCAUAAAGAGCAAUGUAAGCUAUAUUACAUAGCAUAAAGAGCAAUGUAAGCUAUGAUCUUACCCCUUGAGGUGGAGGGGGGUUUCUAGUGAAUUUAGUGCCGCCUGGUGCCCAUGGAACUGCAGAGAUAAGAAGAGGCACAUAAAGAUAGCAUUCCAGUAGAGACUUCACCUCAGUUGGUAACUCAUACAGAUUAGCACAAUCAUUGUAUCUAAGAUUAAAAUUUUGACAUCAAUCAAUUACAACUAACUUUUCAACUAUAUCUCACAAAAAAAUGCUAGUAUCUUCCAGCAUAUUUGCUGUGGCCACUCAUUGGUAAACAGAGGCAUUGGCAUCAGGACCAGAAUCAAUUCAUAAGUUAGGCACUUAGACUGUCUCCAACCACGGAACCCAAACGCAAAAAAUAGGUCAUGCACAGUGUUUUGCAUCCUAAAAUUGGCAUCCAACAGAAGACCCAUACCGGACACUCAUUUUGGGUAUGAGGCCAACGAGAACGCAAAUAAGCGUCUUCCAGAGAGAAGACACAAAUCUCUGCCACGCCGUAGUGGUGGGCCCGUAGAAGGCGUCGCGGCGGGGCACGGCCGGCGGUGAGGCGAGUCCGCGGCGGGGCGGGUCUCCCACGACCCAAAUGUUCGAGGUUUCCACAGGAGGAGUGGAGGAGGUGGACGAAGGAGAGAGCACUGAGGACCCGCCGCCGAGCGCGAGCUCAGGGGAGCCAUGGCCGCCGCCAUGCGCGACCUUGGGAGCCGCUGUCGCCGAGAUCUGGUGGUUGCCAUCGCCGGGAUCUAGGGGCCGCGCAGCUGUGCAUGAGCUUGGGGAGCCACGGCCGCCGGGAUCUGAGGGUCGUGCAGAAGAAGUGUAGGGCAGAAGGAGGAGGUGGACAGUAGAAUGGCUUGCCGGAGGAGUAGGGGCUGCGGAGCAGGAGUGGAGGAGGCGCGGCCGUGCGGGGUGGGAGGACGAGGUGUGAAGGGCUCUCCUUUUUUUGCGUUCUCUGCUGUUGGAGAAGUGAAAUUUUGCAUGUCUGACCUUUCUCCUAUGCGUGACCCAAAUCAUGAUAUGGGUCUUUGAUUUGGGUUCGUGUUGUUGGAGAUAGCCUUAGGUCUUAGGCUGAAGCCUCACAACAGAAUUACAAUACCAAAUACCCACAAAAAUUAAAGCAGCAUCAGCUUGCAUAUUUAGUAAUUAAUUAAUCCAUAACCAUCGGUGUUACUAGAGCUGAGCAAACUUGUUUAUUUCAAACUGUUGUACAUCAAGAGUAAGCAGAUUGAACUGGGAAGGAUUGCAUGCCAGUAAACUGUACUCUAGUCAUUGAAAGGUUUUGACCCAAACGAAAAGUGUGGUUGAAUACCCCAGGUAUACAAAUGUAUAAUGAAUGCAAUGCAAGAAUUCGGAAAACUUUACUGUGACUUCGCUUACUCAAUAUCCAAUGAUCUAUCCAAAUAAAAGUGCCAGUGCCCUUUCUACGUAAUUUGAUGUGAAACAUCCACUGAACAAAAAGGCCAGGACGGCAAGAGAAAGCUUACCAAUGUAGGGAUCGGGGUGCUGGAAGUUCCUGUACCGAGCCUCCGCAUCGUCGAUGAGCCUAUCGAUCACGUCCAUGUUAUCCUGCACCAGCACCCCACACGAAAUCCAUCAUCUCACAGUCACAGCACCACACAGAAACCAUCACCAAACGUAACUCGCGAAUUCCCACCCCGUCGGCAGUAAAAUGGGAAUGAGACGAGGUGCGCAAAAAGAGAAUCAGCAGGAGGCGGCCUUACCACGUGUCGGUUGGCCUCGAACUUGUCCCGGAGAUCCGACGCCUGCGCGGGAGAGGGAGCACGAGGUCAGAUCCGCCCGCGAGCGGAAAGGGAGAUCCAGAUCGAGAGGGAGACGGAGGCGGAAGGAGGGAAAUGGGGGAACUGACGUCCUGGUAGAAGAGGUGGCGGUGAACGGCCCAGUUGAGCGUGUCCUUGAGCGCCCUGCGGUAGAGCAGACGCACCCGCUCCUUCUGCGCCGUCCGCCGCGCCAGGUACCCUGCCGUGGACGCCAUAGACCUCCCCGCCGCCGCCGCUGCUCCUUUCCUUCUCUCUCCUCUCGCUGCAGUAGUCGAGUUGGGGGAUUGGGGAUCGGAUUCGGACGGGGUCACGGCCUCGCAGGUGUCUAUGGGCUGUUUGGACUGGAUCGGCCACUGCUCGGACAUUGGGCUGCAAGCCCACUAGGGCCCAUUUUGUUCCCCUCUUUCUUUCUGGUCCACUUCCCUCUCUUGAGUGUGCACACAUCUUUUUUUGUGGACUAUUUCAACCUACUUCAAAAAAAAAAGUUUUUAUAUAAUUCAUGUAGCGUGUGGAAUAUGGCAAAAAAGAUUGCAUAGCUAACAGUGGUUGAAUAUUGGCACCAAAUAGGAGUAUUAAAGUCGAAUAUUUCACCUCUACUAGUCAAGCUGACCCUGUAACAUCAAUGCUUCUUUAUUUGUGGGAUUGUGGUGGUGUUCUCACAGCCAGGCAGCUUGAUGCCUACUACAGUACUUUGUGUAGGUGCAUAUAUGCUGAAGUUCUGAAGAUUAUGAUAUGAGGAUUGAAAGUUCAAAUUUCUCAACUUAUAGUCAAUGGCGGCAUAUGUAGUGCACUUAUUUGCAAUGUAUGAUAAACAAGUGGCACACUACUAGCUACAGUUGACUAGAAACUCUACAUAUAUCAUAAAAUAAAACUAGAGAAGAACCAUAAGCCCAUUUGGAUUAUCUUUCGAUUUCUAUUCCCACAUUACCAGCUUUCAAAGAAAAAUUGUGUUCUGUAUCCGUAAGCAUUGACGAAGUCAAAGUAUAACUAAAAUUUUUUAAUUUAUAUAAGCUACAUUUCCACUGAUGAUGAAAAGAAACAGCAUGUAUAUAUACAUCUCCUCCCGUGAUCCUAUCCCUUGUGAGCUGUGAGUUGACAUUGAUGAUUCCUGAAUUUCUACAAGCAGAUAAAAAAGAAUCUAGCUUGGUCAUCCAAAAUCCCAAAUCGCCUCGCAAGAUGGAUGGAUGUACGGCCGCACCGAAAGUUGUUAGGAGUUGACAUUAGCCUGCAGGUACAUACAUACUGGCCACAUGGUAGCUGGAACAGUAACUAGUAUUCUAUCUCGGAAUAAAUUCAGUUAUGCGCCACUGCUUGUACAUAUGAUAUGUGUAGUGUACUGUGUACAUACAUACCGGUACUGCUGUACUAGCAAGACACGGGCAGUGAGGUACAGAGUACAUAGUACUAUAGACAGUGCAACUUAUCAUUCCUCUUCUCAUAGAAGGUGUCAAGAAACAAAAAGGGGGGAAAAACUUAUUCCCUGGUCAUCAUUUACAGCCACAGCUAGUACUACAAUGUGACGUGAGAUCUAAGCAGGGUGCUCAUUAGCCAUGCCAUUGGUAUGUGUUGGUAAUAUGCCCUAGAGGUAAUCAUAGAGAUGAUUGUAUUACAUUAUAUCCAUGACAUAUUAUGAGUAUAUUGAAUAUCCAUUGAAAGGCAACUUGUAUCGAUUGACAAUUAUGUGAAUUGUUUGUGAAACUCUUUUACUUGUAUGGUUAUUCUAAAGUUGUCCCUGAUCAAUGUGUGUGAGACAUACAAGUAUAUUAGAUCAGCACAAUAUUAGUUGAUGACCAUGUUUCACAGGUCAUGGACAUAGAGAUGUCAAACUAAUAUUGUGGGCACAUGUAUGACAUAGGGCUGGAUAGACCCAACGUGAGAUGUUAUAGUCUCUAUUCACAUCAUAUAUGUUAUGUCCUUAGACCUGAGAUUGUCGUAUGCAUUCGAGAUGUGAAACGACCUACUUAGAGACUAUCAAACGCUACUCCGUAACUGGGUAGCUAUAAAGGUAGUCUUCAGGUUUGUCAGGAAACAUGCUGCGAGGCAUAGUCAAUCAAGAUGGAAUUUGCCCCUCUUGAUUGAGAGAGAUAUCACUGGAUCACUCAAGUGAUUGGAUCAACAAAUGCAUGGUCGUGCUUGGGUUAAGUGUUAACCCACGAGUUGAACCAAAUAUCAUGAGGCAAGGGAGCAACAUGUAUGUGGUGUAGUGGUUCGUCUGAUAUGAUCAUUUGCGUGCAUAUAGGAGUUGUCACGCCUUGCUAGAGGCCGCUGUCAACUAUUGAGCGAGUAGGAGUACUCGGCCCAUGUCUAUGUGUACGUGAACCCAUAGGGUCGCACGCUUAAGGGGCUGGAAGCCUAAUUCGGGUUGGACCCGAAUUAGACAAGGCUUAGGGUUACUAAUGGGCCUCCAACUCGGGAGCACAUUAGGGACGCCUAUAUAAGUAGAGGGAGGGGCGCGGCCAGACUUGAUCCACGCCUUUUGGCAGCCGCCGUCGCCCUCCACGCUCGCGCCUUCGCUCCUCGCGGACCUAGCAGUCCGGAGGCGCAUCGCUUCUUCCCCGUACGUGUGGGACACCUCGGAGGUGCUGCAUCUGGAGCACGAGGACGAACCGCAAGUGGUGGGAGGACUUGCUGGACGACCACGCAACUGCACGGCACUGCUACGACGUGUUCGACUACAUCGAGUCGUCUUCCGCUGCAUCUACACGUCGAGUGGUAUAUCCGUAACCUAUCUCUAGCAGUAGAUCCUGGAUUAUGGGGCGAAAAUUUUGAUUUUCUGGCUAGCGUAGCGUCCUCGUAACUCUACAGUGGUAUCAAAGCUAUUACUGCCUCGUUAUAGGUUCGGUUUUGUUCAUAUGAUGAUUUGUGCGGUCGUUGAUGAGUCUCUGAUCUUGGUUCAUCAUCUUGCCGUGAUUGGUCAUGUAACGAUCUACUCGUACCGGUCGGAAUUCCGCCAUCCGAGUUAAGUGAUACAUGUAAAUCCAAUCAUGUCGAGUUAGAGAUCAAUUAGAUUGAUUGAAUUGAACCCUAGGUCAAGUGCCGGGCGCAUAUGAUGCGCGGCGGUGGUAGAUGGGAUCUACUGCUGGACGCCGGGUUACCGCUGUUCGGUAAAACAGCCAUAACUCUUAAACCGUAACUCGGAUUGAGACGAUUCCCGCGUUGCCGCAUAGGAAAUGAAAUUUUAGAUCUGAUUUCGCACCGCUUCGCCGUGAUCGCCGAUUUUAGAAUCGCGAAAAACCUCUUGGAAAAUAGAGUUUUUGCCCCUGCAAGUUUAUGUGUCAGAAUCGCAUAACUCUGUUUUGCAGGAAUUCAUGACUGGUAUAGCCCUUAUGUGUAUGUGAUGCAUGUGUGUAAUUAAUUCAUGGCUUGCACGUCAUGAGGACAAUAUGGCAGGAGCCUUUUGAUAUUGUCAAAAUUAAUGUAAUGGCCUGCGUGCCAAUCUGUGAUGAUACAAUCCGCGAUUAUGUAAUUUUAUUUCACUGCCUUGCGUUAGUGAUUGAUUAAUCAUGGCGGAUUCAUCACAUGAAGGAUGGCAUACGUAAAUCAUGGAGAUGGAGAUCGCCAUGGUGAACAGAAAGAUGGAGAUAGAGAUCCCCAAAAGGAACCAUGGGCUAUACCAAGUCAUACGUGUUUAAUGCCGUUCUUACUACGUUCUACUUUCAUAUGCGAUGAUGUUUUUGUCUACAUAAGCGCGGUAGUGAAGUAGAACGAUCCCUCAGCAAUGUCUAAGUGGAAAUGCUUCCCCAAACCUUGCACUGUCACCGGUCUUGUACAAUUGGUGGUGGGUCUAUGAAAUUAGGGUACCACUAAUUUUCCUUGACUAGACAGGUUUGUAUCGGAUACUUACUGCAUAAGGGUUGGUUGCUUAGACAAAGUCAUCCUAACGGUUAGGGACUUUGAAGCAUGAGAGUUGGGCGUGAGGCAUAGAGAUGCUACCCAACAACAAGAGUCAUAUGAGAUAUGAUUAGCAAGGAGUUGCUUACCGAUUUACCAUGCCUGCUAGCGGUGAUGCUAAAGCUCACUAGUAGACAUGUUAGAUGUGGAUCUUGAAUCACUAAGUAUCAAUAGAGGGAUAUUGAUUUUAGUGGGAGUAGAUUAAUAAAUUGUUUAUUUUGUUUUACUCCGUCUUGGAUAUGUUGUCUUAGUAUUUUGCAUACUUUUGUUGUAGAUCAAUGGCUGCCGCUAACAAGCAACCGUUUUCAUUGCGUUCAAUUCUUGAGAAAGAUAAGUUAAAUGGAACAAACUACGCGGAUUGGAUCCGCAACCUGAGAAUUGUUCUCAGGGCUGAGAAAAAGGAAGAUGUUCUAGACACCCCACUUCCUGAUGAGCCUGCUGAAAAUGCACCCGCUGCUGAGAGAAACGCUUACAAGAAAGCAUCUGAUGCUGAUCUUGAAGUGAGUUGCCUCAUGCUUGCUUCCAUGGAACCAGACCUACAAAUGCAGUUUGAUGGUCACUCGGCGAACGAUAUGAUCGUGGCGCUUGAGGAAAUGUUCCAAACUCAAGCCAGGACUGAAAGGUUCAAUGUCUCCAAGGCUUUGGUUGAAACUAAGCUAGCAGAAGGCGCAGCGGUUGGACCACACGUGAUCAAGUUAGUUGGUUACACAAACAGGUUGGAGAAGCUAGGCUUCCCAAUUGGCGAUGAGUUAGCCACUGAUUUCAUUCUUGCAUCGCUUCCGCCUAGCUAUGGGAACUUCAUCUCGAACUACCAUAUGCAUGGGGCCGAGAAGGGCUUGAAUGAGCUGUGUGGGAUGCUUAAGCAAGCAGAGGCAGACAUCAAGAAGGGUGCUAGCAGUAGCCAUGUGAUGGCAAUCCAGAACAAGCCUAACUUUAAGAAGAAGGGCAAUGCGUGGAGGAAGAAAAAGGGCAAGGCUAAAGGUGAGACCUCUAAGCCAAACCCACCUGCACCUAAGGCUGGACCAACUGCGAGCACCAAGUGCUUUCACUGUGGUGGGGAAGGUCACUGGAAGAGAAACUGCAAGGUGUACUUGGAGUCCAUAAAGGAUCGUGGCAGUAAAGGUACUUCCACUCGUACAUUUGUUGUUUAUAUUACAGAUAUUUUUCUCGCUCAAUCUUAUAUCAAUUCUUGGGUAUUUGAUACCGGAUCGGUUGCUCAUAUUUGCAAUACGAUGCAGGGGAUGAUAAGAAGUAGGAGCGUGGAGAAGGGAGAAGUUGAUUUCCGCGUGGGCAACAAUGCAAGAGUUGCUGCGUUGAACGUCGGGAUAAAGCAGCUUCACCUUCCUUCAGGAUUUAUUUUGGAGUUGAAUAAUUGUUAUUUUAUUCCUAGCUUGAGUCGAAACAUUGUGUCGCCUUCAUGUUUGAUGGAGGAUGGUUAUACAUUCGCGAGUAAAGACAAUGGUUGUGUAAUAUCUCGUAAUGGCAUGUUUGUGGCUUCUGCUUCCAUUGUGAAUGGGUUAUUUAUUUUAAAUCUUGAUGAUUCACCUAUCUGUAAUAUAAGUGCUAAAAAGCCUUGGCUUAAUGAGUUAAGUCCUACCUAUAUGUGGCAUUGUCGUUUAGGUCAUAUUAGUGAGAAUCGCAUGAAGAGGCUCCAUAAUGAUGGACUUCUAACUUCGUUUGAUUUCGAAUCUUACGAGACAUGUGAGGCUUGCUUGCUUGGAAAGAUGACUAAAACGCCUUUCACAGGUUUUCCUGAGAGGGCGAUUGACUUGUUGGAACUUAUACAUAGUGAUGUGUGUGGACCAAUGAGCACGACAGCUAGAGGCGGAUUCGAAUACUUUGUAACCUUCACUGAUGAUUUUAGUAGAUAUGGUUAUGUCUACCUAAUGAAACACAAGUCUGAAACCUUCGAAAAGUUCAAGGAAUUUCAGAACGAAGUAGAGAAUCAACGUGGCAAGAAAAUUAAAGCUUUACGAUCUGAUCGUGGAGGUGAAUAUUUGAGCCACGAAUUUAGCAAUCAUCUAAAGAGUUGCGGAAUUGUUCCACAGCUUACGCCGCCUGGAACGCCACAGAGAAACGGUGUGUCCGAGCGACGUAAUCGGACUUUGUUAGACAUGGUUCGGUCUAUGAUGAGCCAGACAGACCUUCCACUAUCGUUUUGGGGAUACGCUCUAGAAACAGCCGCUUUCACACUAAAUAGGGUACCGUCUAAGUCCGUAGUUAAGACACCAUAUGAGAUGUGGACUGGUAAGAGUCCCAGUUUGUCUUUUCUAAAAAUUUGGGGUUGUGAAGUUUAUGUUAAACGACUUAUGUCAGAUAAGUUAACACCCAAAUCGGACAAGUGCUUCUUCGUGGGAUACCCAAAGGAAACUUUAGGGUAUUACUUCUAUAACCGAUCAGAGGGCAAAGUGUUUGUUGCUCGGAAUGGUGUUUUCUUAGAGAAAGAGUUUCUCAAAAGAGAGAAAAGUGGACAAAAGGUGUAUCUUGAAGAAGUUCAAGAUGAGCCGACAGGAAACGACUCCAAAAGUGAUGCUAAUGUAGCAGAACAAGAUGAGAUACCUGUGGCACCACCACAACCACGAAGGUCUACAAGAGUCAUAACCCCAUCGGUAAGACUUCGUGAAGCACGAGGGGAGCUGUUGUUGUUAGACAAUGACGAGCCAGCGACUUAUGCGGGAGCAGUGAUGGACCCAGAUUCUGAGAGAUGGCAAAGUGCCAUGAGAUCCGAGAUAGAUUCCAUGGAAGCCAAUCAAGUUUGGAACUUGGUUGAUCCACCUGAUGGUGUUAGACCCAUCGAGUGCAAAUGGAUCUAUAAAAAGAAAAGGGAUAUGGAUGGAAAUGUUCAAGUCUAUAAAGCUCGACUUGUCGCAAAGGGUUUCCGGCAAGUUCAAGGAAUUGACUACGAUGAGACAUUCUCUCCAGUAGCGAUGCUUAAAUCUAUCCGGAUCAUUCUAGCAAUAGCUGCUUAUUUCGAUUAUGAGAUUUGGCAGAUGGAUGUUAAAACAGCCUUUCUAAAUGGAAAUUUAGAAGAGGACGUGUAUAUGAUACAGCCCGAAGGUUUUGUUGAUCCAAAUAAUGCUAGAAAAAUAUGCAAGCUAAAAAAAUCUAUUUAUGGGUUAAAGCAAGCAUCUCGGAGUUGGAACAUUCGUUUUGAUGAGGUUGUCAAAGGGUUUGGCUUCCGUCAGAAUGAAGAAGAGCCUUGCGUUUAUCAAAAGGCUAGUGGGAGCGCUGUUGUGUUUCUGAUCUUGUAUGUGGAUGACAUACUAUUGAUUGGGAAUGACAUUUCUAUGUUGCAAUUUGUAAAGACUUCAAUGAAUAAUAGUUUUUCUAUGAAGGAUUUAGGAGAUGCAGCAUACAUCUUGGGUAUUAAGAUCUAUAGAGAUAGGUCGAAGAGGCUAAUAGGAUUAUGCCAAGAUACGUACAUUGACAAGGUGUUGAAACGGUUCAACAUGGAGCAGUCCAAGAAAGGGUUCUUGCCUAUGUCACAUGGUAUGCGUUUUAGCGACAAGCAGUGUCCUUCAUCAGAUGAAGAGCGCAAACGCAUGAGUAAGGUUCCAUAUGCUUCAGCAGUUGGUUCCAUCAUGUAUGCCAUGAUAUGUACUCGCCCAGAUGUCUCAUAUGCUCUAAGUGUUGCGAGCAGGUACCAAGCUAAUCCUGGUGAGAGUCACUGGACGCUUGUUAAAAACAUUCUUAAGUACUUGAGAAGGACUAAGGAUGAGUUCCUAAUCUAUGGAGGUGAGGAGGAGCUCGUUGUAAAUGGUUACACCGAUGCUAGCUUCCAAACUGAUGUAGAUGAUUCACAAUCUCAAUCAGGUUUUGUGUUCACAAUAAAUGGUGGUGCAGUUAGCUGGAAAAGUUCCAAGCAGGAGACAGUGUCUGAUUCUACAGCAGAAGCCGAGUACAUUGCAGCUUCUGAAGCUGCAAAGGAAGGUGUUUGGAUGAGACGGUUCCUCAUUGAGCUUGGUGUGUUUCCUAAUGCGGCUAGCCCAUUGAAUCUACAUUGUGACAACAAUGGGGCAAUAGCGCAGGCUAAGGAGCCAAGGAAUCACCAGAAGAACAAACAUGUACUUCGGAAAUUUCACCUCAUUCGUCAGUUCAUCAAAAGAGGUGAAAUUAAAAUGUGCAAGAUACACACGGAUUUGAAUGUAGCAGAUCCGUUGACAAAGGCCCUUCCACAGCCUAAGCAUGAGGCGCACAUGAGGUCUAUGGGUAUUAGACAUCUUAGAGAUUAACUCUAGUGCAAGUGGGAGACUGUUGGUAAUAUGCCCUAGAGGUAAUCAUAGAGAUGAUUGUAUUACAUUAUAUCCAUGACAUAUUAUGAGUAUAUUGAAUAUCCAUUGAAAGGCAACUUGUAUCGAUUGACAAUUAUGUGAAUUGUUUGUGAAACUCUUUUACUUGUAUGGUUAUUCUAAAGUUGUCCCUGAUCAAUGUGUGUGAGACAUACAAGUAUAUUAGAUCAGCACAAUAUUAGUUGAUGACCAUGUUUCACAGGUCAUGGACAUAGAGAUGUCAAACUAAUAUUGUGGGCACAUGUAUGACAUAGGGCUGGAUAGACCCAACGUGAGAUGUUAUAGUCUCUAUUCACAUCAUAUAUGUUAUGUCCUUAGACCUGAGAUUGUCGUAUGCAUUCGAGAUGUGAAACGACCUACUUAGAGACUAUCAAACGCUACUCCGUAACUGGGUAGCUAUAAAGGUAGUCUUCAGGUUUGUCAGGAAACAUGCUGCGAGGCAUAGUCAAUCAAGAUGGAAUUUGCCCCUCUUGAUUGAGAGAGAUAUCACUGGAUCACUCAAGUGAUUGGAUCAACAAAUGCAUGGCCGUGCUUGGGUUAAGUGUUAACCCACGAGUUGAACCAAAUAUCAUGAGGCAAGGGAGCAACAUGUAUGUGGUGUAGUGGUUCGUCUGAUAUGAUCAUUUGCGUGCAUAUAGGAGUUGUCACGCCUUGCUAGAGGCCGCUGUCAACUAUUGAGCGAGUAGGAGUACUCGGCCCAUGUCUAUGUGUACGUGAACCCAUAGGGUCGCACGCUUAAGGGGCUGGAAGCCUAAUUCGGGUUGGACCCGAAUUAGACAAGGCUUAGGGUUACUAAUGGGCCUCCAACUCGGGAGCACAUUAGGGACGCCUAUAUAAGUAGAGGGAGGGGCGCGGCCAGACUUGAUCCACGCCUUUUGGCAGCCGCCGUCGCCCUCCACGCUCGCGCCUUCGCUCCUCGCGGACCUAGCAGUCCGGAGGCGCAUCGCUUCUUCCCCGUACGUGUGGGACACCUCGGAGGUGCUGCAUCUGGAGCACGAGGACGAACCGCAAGUGGUGGGAGGACUUGCUGGACGACCACGCAACUGCACGGCACUGCUACGACGUGUUCGACUACAUCGAGUCGUCUUCCGCUGCAUCUACACGUCGAGUGGUAUAUCCGUAACCUAUCUCUAGCAGUAGAUCCUGGAUUAUGGGGCGAAAAUUUUGAUUUUCUGGCUAGCGUAGCGUCCUCGUAACUCUACAGUAUGGUAUCCAAGGAGAUCAGGGUUAAGUUCCAGAGUUUCAGGCAUUGCCUUGCCCAGGAGCCAGGACCAGGAGCCUGCCCAAUGCAACCUGAAACCAAGCUGAGAACGAGAGGCAGCAGAUGGGGGGGGGGGGGGGGGAGUGGGGACUGGACUGUGGAGGCCGUUGCUGUUUCGGUUCACAGGCGGAGAGGCCCAGCGUCAGCGCCGGCAGCCAUUGGGAAAACGAAAACUUGUCCCGUCUGCAUUUACUCGCAGCACGAGAAAGACGAAGGCAUCGACAGCGAGUUGGGUGAGGUGAGGUGAGGUGAGGUGAGGUGAGGUGAGGUGAGGUGAGGUGAGGCGAGCAGGUUUAAUGGCGCUCGCGUCAGCGUCACUGACCUCGACCUCGACCUCACUCCUCUCUCUUUUUCUCAGCUCUGAGCUCCGUCCGAGGACAGGAUACUGGAGUACGUACAGUACUGGACACUGAAGAACUUCUGAAGAAAAUACGCAGGAACACAGGCGCCUCUUCUGAAACUUGCCACCUGCAGUUGGGGCGUUGUUUAAUGGCUUGGAACCUUCAUCUGUCAGUCAACCAGUGAGCCAGUGAGCGCAUCAGUCCAGAUGCUGCCGCUAAUCACAAUCAGACGCUAACCACGAGUAAUACUGCGAUUAUUUUACGGCACCCAACAGCGUCUUGUCUUGUUUUUAUAGCACAUCGUGAUGAGGUGCAGCAGCAGUGUUUGUUUAUGCCAAUGGAGUGGAGAUGAGAUGCUUCUGUGCUGCUGCCAGCGCCAGCCACAGGCUCCGGCCGGUUUCUUUACUCCAGUGAGGCGCGGCAGCUUGUGGUACGCCGUUUCCUGCUGGAUCUUGCCCAUGCGUGCGUACAGCGUACUUGCUUCCACGGAUCCGAGUUCUUUGCUCCUGAUAAACUCGGCUCCGUGUUCCAGCUCAUCAGAGAUAGUGCUGGGACUGCAUGCUGGAUCAGCUAGCUGCUUCACCAAAACUUUCCAAAUGCUGCUGCAUGCAUGAUCCUCAGUUUAAUUGUGUGCCGCGUGCCGGUGAAAAAGACAGUUGGCUGAGGAUGCGAUAGCUUGGAUUAGUUGGCAACUGGGGGUGAUAGCAAGACUCCUAGUAGUAGGUAGCUGGCUGGCAGUUUAGGACAGAUUAGUGCUGCUUGCCUGCUUGUACAGCAAAUGGAGUAAGAUUUGAAGUGGUUCAUCCCUGAUGACCUGUUCUUCUUUGGGACUCUUGCUCGUAGGGAUGCAACUAAGUACGCCAUUGAAGAAGUUCAGGCCCCUUUUGGAUUGCAGGAUUUUUUUUUUCAUGCUCCUGUGUUUUUCUGAAAUUGUUUCAUGUCAAAUUACAAAUAAUUGCCAUGAAAUUCCUGCGUUUCAAAAGGGAGCCCUUAAGAAGAAAAAGAAUCCAAGGAUUAUUUGGAUGGUGUAGUAUUAAGAACCCGUAGUAUUAAAACUAGUUUUAUAGAACCAUAGAUAUGUAAAACCAAAGGUUUCCAAGAAAAAAAAAUAGGUAAGCAGACUUAUGCCAUAUUUGGAUCUAAAGUGUUUUUUUUCAGUUUUAGAAAAAUAUUAUGGUCUUCUAGGUUAAGAGUUCAGUCAAGUGUUUACAAUGACAACUUUGUGUUUUAAAAACCACAACAAUGUUAAAAUUGUAGUCUUUCUGAGUUUUGUAAAGUUUUAUAAUGUCCACUCUAAACCAAAAAAGAAUUGUUUGUCUUUAGAUUUUAAUAUUACAACAUCCAAACAGUGCCUUUGUUCUUGAACAUAGGUUUUAGAACAAAAAGAAACAUCUAGCCCUAAGGAAAUAUAGAUUGAAAAAAAAAUGAUAUAAUGGCUCCCAAAGGGCCAUGACCGCAAUUUACGGUUAGUGACAGACCUGUUAAAGAAUGAUGGCACGGUCAUCGGAAAGCUCUCUUUCGGUGAAUGAAGUAAGCAGGCAUUAUUAUACCUUUUUCAAAAAGGCAUGGGACAAAAGAAAACAUAAAAAAGGAGCCAAUUAACCAGGCAUUGAUUGAGAAACCUGGAGUAUUUUCCUGCCAUGGAAAAAAGUCAUGACUAGUUUCUUGCUGUGCCGGUAACACAACUGCUACUCGGAGAAAAAAACUUGUGGCUGUUAGAUGGCACAACUGUGCUUCAUAAUUCCUGCGGUGAUAGCUUAUCAAGCCCUGUACGUACGGCUAUAGGAUUUGCACCACGAAACAGAAGCGGCCCAUGGAUUUGACCUCUGCGUUGUGAACAGUCACUGCUAGGUUUACCUAACAACACGUAUAUAACCUAGAUUAAAAGCUUAAUUAAUGUGGCAACGAGCCAACGAUGCUUAAUCGUGCACGCAUGUCGGAUCCCCUACAUUGCAUUAUACGUUACAUACAUGAUCGAUAGAGUAAUAACUCCCUUGAGGGGCCUCCAAUUGAAAAUGCGGCGGUUGUCGACAAAUUUGCUGACAUGAAUUGCAUGCUGAGGUGGGCAUUGCUUGUGAGUGAAAUCAUCUGAGGUCUUGUUUGGAUGUAGUCGGAUUCGCAUCAAUCCACAUGUGUUGGGGUGGAUUGGAGUGGAAGUUGAACUAAAUUCCACCCUAAUCCACUCCAACACAUGUGGAUUGAGGUGAAUCCGACAACAUCCAAACAAGGCCUAAAGAAUUUAGAAGCCUGAUGAAGCUUGUUCUGCAAAGUGCAACAACCAAGGGCAGGACAAAAGUUGUGUAUAAAUCAGGGUUUAGGGACACAACAUUUACCAACCACGAUAUAGAUAAAAUUAAAGCAAAGAUCAUGCGAUGGAGUUGGAUUAUUUGUUAGUACCAAAUAUGCGUGCGUAGAUCGUGUGAAUUGCAUCAUGGAUGACAUUGGUAUAGGGGUGAAAGUGGUGUGGAUAAUUCUCCGAACCGAUCCGAUCCGAAUCCGAAUUUUGAGGAUAUGGAGAAGAACUUUUAACAUCCGUACGGAUACGGAUAAUCCGAAUCCGAUUAUCUGCGGAUACGGGGUAGGAUAUAGAAUAGGUAAAAUCCGGCGGAUAUGGAUUAUCCGCAAAUUUUAUGCGGAUUAUCCGAUGUUUAAAAUAGGAUAUCCGAAGGUUUCUCUUCCAAGACUAAAGAAUUUAGGAUUUUAAAAAGUUUGUUAGUUGAGGACUUUUAUUUUAUGAUGUGGUUGUUUAAUGUUCUAAUUUUUAAAUUAAGAAAUUUGCUAGAUGUUAUUAUUUAUUGGCUAAUAACUUAUUAUUUUUGGUGAAGAUAUCAUGUUAAGUGUUAACUAUUAGUAUGAGAGCAGCAACAUGGAAUACAAUGCAAGAUUAUUAUCUAUUGCCUAUUCUUGUUCUGUACUAAAUAAAUUCUUCACAAGCAUAUAAUUCUCUAUGUAUGCACAUGUUACUCGACUAUUAAAAUCCGUCUCCGAUCCGUUUCCGCUCCAUAUCCGUACCAGUUCCGACUACCGAAAAAAACUGUAUCCACAUCCACAUCCGUGUAUUAUCCGCUCCGCACCGAAUUCGACAAAGAAAAGCGGAUUAGGAUAUGGGAAAGACAUUAUCCGCACCGAUCCGAUUCGUUUUCAUCCCUACAUUGGUAUAUAUGUAAUGAAGUUUAUACAAGUGUUGAAGCGUCGCCUUCCUACAUCAACAUGCUCCGAAGUUGGGUACUAUCUGAAAAGUAAUCGAGUUUGCGUAGAACACUCACACCAGGAAGAUGAAUUGGAAGAACAAUACAGCUAGCCGUUCAGAACAGGAGAUACGAAGGGACAGUCCCUAGACAUCUUGACCCUCUUGAGUAUCUGGAACUGCCGAAAUGAUGUCAUCUUCAGAGAGGUGCGCAAGACAGACCAAGUAACACUCACGAUGAUAAAAGACACAACACAACAAUGAAGCUAGGCAGGCUACAAUGCUCUCAGGGGUCGACCAUGUAACUAGAGAGUAAUCCGUUAUGUAACUAAGCCCUACGUGGCCUCGGCAACGGGGGGCCCACAGCUCGCGCAUGUAAUUGGAUGUUUGCUCCCUCUCUUAUUAAUGAUUUAAAGCCGGUAAUACCGGUUCUUUAAAAAAUGCCACUUGGAAUUGUUUUAUCACUCUUGCAUUUUUCUGGUGGGACAUAUAUAAAGCUAUGUUCUUGAAGAAAGAAAGAAAACUUGAUCUUAAAAAAGACACUAUGUGUUCAUAUGAGAUGGGAAAUGUAGUGCUCUCUGUAAAUUGAUUGAGGAAUUACAAAAGAAUAUUUCCUCCUCUAGCUAGAUAGAAAAAGAAAUGCUCUCUCUAGAUUGUGUUGAAUUUACUCGUUUGGUCAAGAAAAAAAAGGAUCAUGUACGUCUGACAGAAAAGCUACACAUGUCCAAUGCAACUCUAGUCCACAGGAUUUGAGAUCACUUUCCAAAAUCCCUUGCUUGCGUACACUGAUACACAUAUCCAGAGCCAAGACAAAAUUUUCCCAUGAAAGGGAUUUGCAAGGCAGAAAGCAUAUCCUACUUUUGCAUAUAUCAUCUAGAAGAAAAGGCGUAAAAGUCCUGUGGAAAAUGCACAUCACUAUCCCUUUCAAGCUUUCACUGUAAUAGUUGACAGUAGAGGAUAGCAGAACUCCCUCCUAAGGCCCUGUUUGGUUCAGAGUUAUAAAUUUUUAAUCUAUAUAAUAUUAAAUAUUUGGACACAUACAUAAAAUAUUAAAUAUAAACUAUUUACAAAACUAAAAACACAACUAAAAAAUAAUUUGUAAGAUGAUUUUUUAAACCUAAUUAGUCUAUGACUAGACACUAAUUACUAUAGUUAUAAAUUAGCUACAGUACCUAUUAAACUUUAGUGCCUCCAACCAAACACCCCUAAAAAACAUUUUAAUUCUACUUCAAAACUAAGUCAAAGUAUCUUAAAUUGAUUAUUUACAUAAAAAAUAUCAACCUUUAUUAUAUUAAUUAAGUAUAAUUAGGGACUGUAUUUUUUCAUAGCAGAACUCCCUCCCGUAUUUGUCUAUAUAUUUAAUUGAAAGUAGAUUUCUUUUUUUUUUUAAAAUGCACAAUUGCAUUCUUGGAACAGAGGCAGUAGAACCCAAUGGCGGCAGCUGCAGCUAGUCAAGCUGCCUGCCGCUGUCCAUCAACGUACGGGAGGUACCAUCCACUAAUUCCAUCCCCAAACCACGACCGGUUCUUGGAAGCUUGACGCAUGGCCUGCCGCUAACUGCUGGCUGCUGUGGGCACCGUUAAAUCGCCGCGACAGCGAUGGUGCCGGCCAAUGCCAUCCGGCCGUCGAAGCCAUCAAUCGCGUCAGAAUUCAGAUGCCAUUCGCCUUGUGCAAGUACUACGGCCUUGUUUAGUUUCCAAAAUUUUGCAAAAUUUUUCAGAUUCUUCGUCACAUCGAAUCUUUAGACGUAUGCAUAGAGUAUUAAAUAUAUAUGAAAAUAAAAACUAAUUGCACAGUUUGAUCGGAAUAGACGAGACGAAUCUUUUAAGUCUAAUUAGUCUAUAAUUAGACAAUAUUUGUCAAAUACAAACGAAAGUGCUACUAUUCCUAUUUUGUAAAAAAAUUUUGGAAGUAAACAAGGCCUACUACUGCUCAUGAACUCAUCAUCUUUGCUUGUCUACGUGUGCUUAUCUAGCUGCUAAAAGCCGUUCUCCUUUUUCUUUCCGCAAUGGCGGUGACACUACUGGCCAUGCCGCCAUGCAGGGCUGGCUGAUCAGUGGCUGGGUUUCAGUUUUUUUUUUUGGUUCCAAGGACUCAGUAUUUGUUUCAACUUUGAUUGUUUUUGUUAUUUUCCCUCUUAAUGAAAUACAAAAAAUUUGUUUUUUUAUGACAAGUUUUCUGGGCUUUUUUCACACAGACAUUUGAUUGGGAUACCACAAGGCUUCAUCUUUUUUAACAAAAAGAUAAAAAAAAACAUAAAUGUAUUCUCUUCUUUAUGUAGGAGUAGUCGUCAAAUUGCACAACGAACAAAAAGAAGUCAGACGAAAAGUCCUAUACUAAUUCUCCGCGCCUGAUCUUUCAGAAUUCAGACGACAGUAGUAACUGUUAACAUCAUGCACGGUUCAGGUCUCGGCUGCUUUAGCUAUCAAAUGCUAGCUGCAGCUCUCUUUGAAGCGAACGAGUCAAGAGAUGACUUUUUUUGGCCCGUUUAUAUCAGUUCUACCCAGUAAUGGCAGCAGCCGGAAAAUGUCAACGCGGUUGCAUCAGAGGCACGACACUGCGAGUAGCAACAGCAGUGUCCCAUGACACAGAGACACCGAGACCAGCGGUGACCAACUAUUCAGCGUCAAAAGACGAGCUUGGGCUGGGGGUCCGUCAACAACUUGGAGCGAUUCCAAGUUUGAUGAGUAAAGCCUUGUUUAGUUCUAAAAAGUGAAAACUUUUCGGUACUGUAGCAUUUUAAUCAUGGACUAACUAGAAUUAAAAGAUUCGUCUCGUGAUUUACAGCUAAACUGUGUAAUUAUUUUUUGUUUUCGUCUAUAUUUAAUGUUUUAUGCAUGUGCCACAAAAUUCGAUGUGAUGGGGAAUCUUGAAAAACUUUUUGGUUUUCAGGGUGAACUAAACAAGGUCUAAGUAGAAGAUGAUGAUGAGUGUUUGCAGAGCGUCGGCUCGGAAUAGUUCCAAUCAUGAGAAAAGUAAAGCUUUGUUCUCGUUCUUCUUCAGUGGUAGUAGAAUGUUAAAAUCACGACAAGAGAAGAGUAAUACCCCCUGUAGUAUUUCCGCGUCGUCAAAAGAUGAACAAGCGUAUCAACAGUCGAACACCGAGAGCAAAUUGCUCCCGAAUUCCAAGCUGGAGUAUUACUAAAACGAAGGGGACCAGUACAUAUCAUGGCGCCCAAAAAAAAAAAGGAAAAAACCCAACCAUUUCGACAUAUAAAUAAAUAAAUAAAAGAAUCCAAUUCCAUUGAAAUCAAAUUCAUUCAAUGAUCCGAAACAGAGAAAUGGGAGCACAUGACGCUGCCUAAAACUAGGAAAGGCGUUAAUGACCCAAUCAAGAGCCAGAUUAGCAAAAUUCCAACCACUCCUAGUACUGGGGAAAAAAAGGCGAGAGGAUUAAGGGAGGCUCGCGUGACGCGGCCGGCAACGCGGCGGAGAGGGUGUACAAGCGGACAACGGAGGCGCCACCUGCCCCCGCCCACCCGCCCGCCGCCGCCGUGUUUCUGGAGGAGGACGGAGCCGCGGGACCGGGACCUCCCGGCCGGCCGUCCAAACCGAACCACCCCCACCAGCGCGGCACACCCCAAACCGCCGACCGGUGGCCCCGCCUGUCAGCCAGGCCCCCGCUCGCCUCGUGCAUUUAUUGGCAACCUCCUCGCUGACAUCACCCGCGCCGUUUCCCCACGCACGCACGCACGCACGGCUGGCUGGCUGCCUGCCCGCCCGCCCUGCCGUGUGGCGCGGGCAGGUGGGGGUGAGUGGAUGGCAGGUGGGCCUGCGCCGUGCGGGGACCUCCGGUCAGAAAGGCGUUUUCGGGUGAAAAAAAAGGGAAAAAGAGAAAGGUGGUUUCGCCGUACGCGCUGAGGAAGCGAGAGAUCUCGCUUUCUUUCUUCCUCCCGCGGGUUUUUUUUGCGUCCAGCCCCCCGGAAACUGGGUGAAUUCACGGUCGCCUCCCUGGGACGGACCCGACCCGGCCCCUGCCCUGCCCCUCUCUCUCUCCUCCCAGCUGCUGCGCUGUAACCGAGGAAGGGAGGGAGGGAGGGAGGGGAGGAGAGAGAAAUAACGGACGCCACCUCCUCCCCCUCGCUCGCUUCCUCCUCCUCUCUCUCUCUCCCCUGCUUCUUCUUCCCCUUCCAUUCCCAACGAGGCAACGACUCGCCAGCCUGCCUGCCUGCCUGCCCGCCCUUCCUCACCCUCGCACCCGCGGCGGCGCGGAGGGCCGGACCCCAAACCCUAACCCUAGCGGCCCGGGCGCCACCUCCGGUCCCGCCCGGCCGCGAUGGGGCAGUGCUACGGGAAGGCGGGGGGAGGCGGGUCGUCGCGGGCGGACCACGACGACGACCCGGCGGGGGCGGGGGCGGUCGCGCCGCCGUCCCCGCUACCGGCCAACGGCGCGCCGCAGGCGCCGCCGCUGCCCGCCACGCCCAGGCGCCGCAAGUCCGGAUCGACCACGCCGGUGCACCACCAGGUGGCCACGCCCGGCGGGGGCGGCGGCGCCUGGCCCAGCCCCUACCCCGCCGGUGGGGCUAGCCCGCUCCCCGCGGGCGUGUCGCCGUCGCCCGCCCGCUCCACGCCACGGAGGUUCUUCAAGCGGCCCUUCCCGCCGCCCUCGCCCGCCAAGCACAUCAAGGCCACGCUCGCCAAGCGGCUCGGCGGGGGAAAGCCCAAGGAGGGCACCAUACCGGAGGAGGGUGGCGUUGGCGCCGGCGCCGGCGCGGCCGUCGGGGCUGCUGAUUCCGCCGAGGCCGAGCGCCCGUUGGACAAGACGUUUGGCUUUGCCAAGAACUUUGGGGCCAAGUACGACCUCGGGAAGGAGGUCGGGAGGGGCCACUUUGGCCACACCUGCUCCGCCGUCGUCAAGAAGGGCGAGUACAAGGGCCAUACCGUUGCCGUCAAGAUCAUCUCCAAAGCUAAGGUGAGGGGAUCAUACAUAGCUCUGGGGGGUAUGCUCAUGUCAAAUUCCACUUUUGGGAAAUUUUGAAAUUUCAAAUACUAGCUCUUGCUCUUCUGUCAGGUAACCGGUAUGUGUUCGCGCCAAUUCUGCACUAGUAACCGAAACUUAGGUGGUUAAAUGGUCUGAAUUUUGCGUGCUGAAGGAUACUUUAGGGAUUACCUAUUUCAAUUUUGGAAUUUUGCUCUUAAGUUGUUUGGCAUUGGUGGCUUGUUGUACAAAGUAACAUAGGGAAUUCCAGGAUUUUGCAUGGUACUUGACUAGUUGUAUUUUAGCGAUAUGUUCUCUAGCGCGAUAUCUUCCCCUUUUUUUUGUCGUUUUAGGAUUUUUAUUACUUGAGACAGUAGGGUUGUGCCAUGAAAGUUUAGCAUUUACUGUCCCAUUGUUCAAUCCCGUUAACAUGACUGCAGUUACUCCGCUAGAUAGUUAGGCUGGCGAGAGUAAAUUGUCCUUUUUUUUUGGUCGUGAUACUGAGUAGAGGUUUUGACAGUUCUCGACAGGUUCGGUUGAUGUUGUAAAUCAUGCUAAUCUUAUUUUUUGUGGGGGUCAAUGGGAAGGGAAUGCAUGUAGGAACUUUAGGAUCUCGAAUAGUACAGUGAUUGAAAUUCUUGGUGGCUUACCCAAUUCUUGUUUGUUGUUAAUGAUAAACAAUAGAGGGCAUAUCCUGAUCUAUGCUUUCAUUCCCCCUUCUUGUUUGGUGAAGGUCUGUGCAUUUUCUAGCUGGAUUCUGUGGCACUUUAGGAAAACCUAGUUGAUUGUGCUUGUCCUGUUAAUGCAUUGCAAUUACUAGGAGUGCAUGUGUGGAAAAACUUAAAAGCGAAGAAAGUUCUCAUGGAGGAGCCUAGAUUUGAUUAAGAUGCCCAAGCCCCAGAGGAGAUAGCAUUGCAUAAACGAGACAAUAAGAAUGCCUUACAUUGCAUUACUAUUAUUAUCAGGAGACAUUUCUUCAUGAAGGAAGGAUAUUGGACUGGUUAGCUAGAUCAAAGAGCUGAUAAUUUAAUAGCUUAUAGAAAUUUAAAGAUUUAACUAAUGUAGCAUUUGAUCUAUUUUUAUGGGGGUAUGAAGUUCCCAGAACGCCACCACUAAAUUUCGUUGUCUCAUCCAGAUCUGCAUGGAAAAAGGAAAUCAUUCAUUCUUGUUGCUGAUAUAAGCAAUUUACUCCAUAAAUAUCUGUUGCCUUGAUCUGUGGCGAAGCUAGGUCUAAAUUUAUGGUGGUGCGUAGCUAAAGAGACAUUCAUAGUUUAGUAGAAAUACAUGGUAAAAAAUUGUCUAGCUAGUGGAAAAAAAUUUCUUACCGUGGUGCAUUGGCACCAGGCAAGCUGUACGUAGCUUCGCCACUGGCCUUGAUUAUCAUUUGGCUAUGCUUUGUGAUGCUUUCUUCUCUUCAAAUUCUUUCCAUGUUAAUGUAGAAAUACUUACAUUUUUCUUUCUAUGGAUGAUGUUAAUAUUGCCCCUACUUCUGACUGAAAUGAAAUACCAUCUUUUGGUUUUGGUAGAUGACAACAGCCAUUUCCAUUGAAGAUGUUCGUAGGGAGGUCAAGAUUUUGAAAGCUCUAUCAGGGCACAAUAAUCUCGUCAAAUUCUAUGAUGCAUGUGAGGACGCCCUCAAUGUCUACAUUGUCAUGGAGUAUGUUUUUUUGUGACCUUUUGUAUGUGACUUUAUAGACUUAAAAUUCAGAAAUACUAGAUUAGGAUUCUCUAGAUACAACAUUUGAUCACUGACUUCUGCUGGCACACAUUAAAAACUGAUCUUCCAUGGCUGGGUAUUUUCUUAGAUCACUCACUGCUAACCAUAUCCUUCAAUGUGUACACAAUAUAGUAGUUGUAUCUAGCACAGUGCAUAAAUGCUCUUCAAUGCAACUAAUGUAAUAGUAAUACCUAUGACCUAUCGGAUGGUAAUUUCUUCAAAUUGUUUCUUUUGAACAGAUUAUGUGAAGGUGGAGAGUUGCUAGAUAGGAUUUUAGCCAGGUACUUUUUACUACAUAGUAUAUUCAUCUCUAGUAUCCGAGUAGCAGUAUCUCUUGUUAAUGCUUACCAAGGAUGCAAACUUGAACUAUUGAAGAGGUGGGAGAUAUACAGAAGAAGAUGCCAAAGCGAUUGUUGUACAGAUUUUGAGCGUAGUGGCCUUCUGUCAUCUUCAGGGAGUAGUGCACCGUGAUUUGAAGCCAGAGGUAUGCUUGAACCACUUUGUGUAUAGUUUGUAUAUAUGUGCGGUUCAGUAGGUGUUUGACUGGGGUUACUUCUGCAUCUUGUUAACUGCAUUGCUGUUUUUUGUUUUCAAGUGACAGCAAUAAUGCUUGUUUUGAAAGCUAGGCUGCCUUUUGUGACACAAUUGCUAUAUUUCAUUGGCACAGAAUUUUCUUUUCACGACAAGAGAUGAAAGUGCUCCUAUGAAGUUGAUUGACUUUGGUCUGUCUGAUUUUAUUAGACCAGGUAAUGUACUCAUAUUUAUCUCUUUACAUGGCCCAUGUGUUUACAGUUAUUUCUGCUCUUGUAAUUAAAAGUCAUUACUUUGUUGAAAGGUUAAUUCUAGUUUUCUAAUGUGGAAUUGGAUAAGCAGCAUCAAUUUCUCAGUAAGCAGCUUAAAUAACAGCAUUUGGAAAGGUGUUAGUCUGAACACGGUUUGUUAAUAAACCUAAGUUUAGGUGAACUUCUUACAAUAGAAAUCGGGCAAUGCGGUGUUAGUAUCAGCAUUUUUGGUUGCUCAGGGUCAAGGAUUUCAUCAUGCAAGUUUGGACCGGAUGUACUUCAUGUUAUGGUUUUGCUUUUCCAUACCUUUGUUCUACUUCGUAGUGUGUCCCAGUUAGCUCUUAUGCUGAACAAACAAAUGUUUGUCAUAUGCUGCAUUUUGAUGAUUGGCAGGCGCAAAAUAAUAUGAAAAAAUUUGAAAAAUCUGAACACAACUAACCAAGGAAAUUGCAUUUUUUUUAUUUGUGCAGAAAGCAUCUGCUUGUUAGUCUUGCGUUUUAAUUGUUUAGCGUGCAUACAUGCUAGGAUCAUUGUGUGUCAUAUUCCAGAUAAAUAGUGCAUACAUUUGUAUAUGACUAUUUGUUUUUUGCAGGUUUCUUUACGUUUGGUAGUUGGAAUACACUGUCAAUGUUUAUAGUUAAUCAUUUUUUUCUGCUCACUCAUAUGUGUUCUGUGCUAUGUAUUGCAGAUGAAAGGCUCAAUGAUAUUGUUGGAAGUGCAUAUUAUGUUGCUCCGGAGGUUCUACACAGAUCGUACAGUAUGGAAGCAGACAUUUGGAGUAUAGGUGUCAUAACAUACAUUCUUCUGUGUGGCAGUAGGCCAUUUUGGGCAAGGACAGAAUCUGGGAUCUUCCGGUCUGUGUUGAGGGCUGAUCCCAACUUUGACGAUUCACCAUGGCCUUCAGUAUCUGCUGAAGCUAAGGAUUUUGUGAAGAGAUUUCUGAACAAGGACUACCGAAAAAGAAUGACUGCUGUCCAAGCACUGAGUAAGUCACCACAUAUGUGUAUUUUGUGUUGCCCCGUGAUUUUGAUAUCACAAUAUCUCACUUCGCUUUUUGUACUUUAAGCAGAUUUUAUUAACAUCUAUUUUUACUUUUUUAGGAACUGCUAGUUAAAAACAUUAUAUGACAUGAUAAUGAAACAAAGUUGAAUUUACUUUUCCCUUACCUGUUUGCAGCUCACCCUUGGUUACGAGAUGAACAAAGACAGAUUCCAUUGGACAUACUCAUUUUCAGAUUAGUUAAGCAAUAUCUUCGUGCUACUCCUCUUAAACGUUUGGCAUUAAAGGUACAGUACAGACUUCAUGGCCUUUUCUGUAUUUGUAAGCAUUCUUUCUAUUCUUCAUUGAUCUUUGUUGAUACAGCAAUAUGCAACUGAUAGAUGUACAUGUGCUAGAUGUGCUAAAAGAGGCCACAUGAUGGCUGUUUAACCCUCCAAACAGUAGAAGUUACAGAAGAUGGGUUCAUUAGUGGUGUAUGUUUCUAUUUGCAAUGUUUUUUAGGUGUUUAUAUUUUAUUUUCCUUUGUGAUCCUGUACCUUUUCAAUUUAUUAUGAGAGGCUGGUGUUGCUGAUCAUAAUAUUGCUCCAAACUAUUAUGGACUUCCAUAGAAGUCAUGAAUACAAAUAUGUUCAUAGUGGCAAAUUGUAGUGUAACUGACAACCAGCAAAGUACUGCUCAUUAAUGUAGUUAUGUGUGUAGUAACACUUAAUAUUAUUCCUUGUCACAGGCACUAUCAAAGGCUUUAAGGGAGGAUGAACUUUUGUAUCUUAGAUUGCAGUUUAAGCUGCUUGAACCCAGAGAUGGGUUUGUAUCACUCGACAACUUUCGGACAGUACGUUAUUUGUUGUUGCCAAUUGCCUCAUCAUUAUGAAGACAUGUCAAAAGCAGAACACUUGCUCAUGUCUUCCUUUGCGCAUUAUGUUCAUGUUCUAACUUCUGAACUCCCAUGGUGUAACCAGGCUCUGACAAGAUAUUUAACUGAUGCUAUGAGAGAAUCAAGGGUUCUUGAGUUUUUGCAUGCGGUAAGGAUUCAUCAGUAUGCCCCUAAGCAAAGGAUUAUACUGUGAUACUUAUCAUAUCCGUCUGUAGGGAUAUCGAUAGAAAUUUUCCAUAUGAUUAUCUUUAACUGUAAUGUUGAAACAAUGCCUUAGCUCAAUUCUGAGCUGAUGCUGUGAUGUUUCAGACCUGUUGCUUAAAUCCUUUAUUUUAGAACUUUUGCAUCUUGUGAUUUUUAUUGCCAGUAAUUAUUGUAUUGAUGGUUGAAGUUGCUGACCUUCUCAUGUUUCUAUCUCAGCUGGAACCACUUGCGUACAGAAAGAUGGACUUUGAAGAAUUCUGUGCUGCAGCAAUCAGCCCAUACCAGCUCGAGGCUUUGGAAAGGUGGGAAGAAAUUGCUGGAACAGCUUUUCAGCACUUCGAACAAGAGGGCAACCGAGUUAUAUCGGUUGAAGAGUUGGCACAGGUAUUCAGUGGAUGUGCUUAUCCUUUGGAUCAACAUUUUCAGCAUGUGCACUUGGAUACAUGUGGAAGAUCAUCACCUUAUCGUCGGCAUAAUUGAGUACCCUGACUUUUUUCAUUGUGUGUAGGAACUAAAUCUCGCGCCAACUCAUUACUCCAUCGUGCAAGAUUGGAUCAGAAAGUCGGACGGCAAGCUUAACUUUCUUGGGUUUACCAAAUUUUUGCAUGGUGUCACAAUACGGGGCUCAAAUACAAGACGACACUAAACGGUUGCAAAUUGUAUUCGCUUCUAAUUUAAAGCCUCUCAUCAAUUAUAUGGCCCUGAUUGCUGUUACCCCUACCUCCUGCUUGCCCUGCCCCUUCGUCUGGUCAAUGACCAUUCUUGUUUGUGAUGUCGCCGGUUGUUGUCGUCAUAGCUUUUGUAGAGUACAUGUAAAGAUCCUUGUAAUGGCGAAAUCAUAUGGUUUGCUCAAGAAAUAUAGUGUCAUUUGUUCUUUUUGGCUCACCAGUUUUGAACCAUUAUUAUCCGUGGAUAGUCUUUUGUCGACUUGGUGCUUAAGUUGUUAGCGUUGCUCAGCUAAAUAACAUUUCAGGCACCUGUAAGGCUGUAACUCCCCGCUGUACUUGUUUUGUAUGCACAUACAUUAUUGGCGUAAAUUAGUUGUACAUUAUCAGCUUAUAACUGGGUUAUAGAGAAAUGCCAGAUAUGUUUCCAUUUCAGAAUUCAGGUCACAUGUUACUAGUAGACGGUUUGGAACGAGGAUCUUGCUUUAUUAGAUAUCAAGAGUUAACCCAGAAUAAACAAAUAUCUAUCUAAGGCCUUGUUUAGUUCAUCCCAAAAACAAAACAAAAAAAUCAAAUGUUUCGCCACAUCGAAUCUUGCACCAUAUGCAUGGAGCAUUAAAUGUUGUCAAAAACCAAAACUAAUUACACAGUUUAACUGUAAAUCACAAGAUGAAUCUUUUGAGCCUAGUUAGUUCAUGAUUGGAUAAUAAUUGCCAAAUUAAAACGAACAUGCUACAGUACCAAAACCAAAAAAUUUUGAAAACUAAACAAGGCCUAAGUUCUAUUGUUUUUGUUUUUGGCAGAUGGCCUUUCAUAUACUAGUUCUUUUUGUAAAUAUAUGAAUUAGGUAUAAUGUAUAAGAUGCCUAUAAUUCCUGUAUAAUAACGUAUAAGAUGUUUGAGGGCGUCUUUUCUUAAAAAAAUAAUACUUAUGAAUAAAUAUCAAUGAAAUAUAUUUUAUAGUAUCUUUAUUUGAAGUUAUAAAUGUUAAUAGUAUUUUUUUAGAAAUUUAUUUAGAUUUAAAAAAUUCAUUCAAAUUUAAUCCAGAAUUAUAUAUGUUGUGUGUGUGGGGGGGUGGGGGGGGGGGUAUGGAACUAUAAAUUUGAUGAAGAAUGGCUAGAAAGAAAUAUCUUUUUUUUCGCUGGGGUAGAAAGAAGAGGGAGGCCCUCAUGGUCUCCCCUCACCGGCUACAUUUAGGGAUGUAAAAAAGGUUCUGUCUAGUUUUUAAUUUUUAUCCUACUCAUUUCCGUAUUUGUAGGAUUUUAUUUUCAUAUAUACGGAAACAGAAGGGGUAGGGUUCUUGUUUGUUUUUGUGGAAUUUCGUUUUUCUUGGGAUAAACUUGUAUUUAUUCUGUUUCCAAAUUAUGUGGGAUAUACCUAAGAAGUACUAAAUGUCAUUGUAUUAUGUUAAUAAAAUCUACUAAUAAUGAAUUUUACAUAUUAAUGUGCUAACAUACAUGGCAUGCAAAUUAGUACUAAACCAAUCUUCAUAUGUUUACAUUGUUGUUUCACUUUAUCAUACAUGUAUACUUGAGCAUAUUAGAUCGUGUGAUUCUAAUUUAAUUUUCUGGCUCUCCAUCCAUAUUAGUUCGGUUCCGUAUAUCCGCAUAUCUCUUUUCUGACCCCCCGACUUUUCUUGACUUGAUUGAUCAUGAAGAAGGCAGUGUUUUUUUUUUUUGCCCGUUUGGUUUGUUUUCAUCCCUGGCUACUACAUUCAUGUCUCUGGUGCCACUGCAUGACACAAAAUCUCAAUUCAUUUUCGGCCUGGCUGGCUUUGAAUGGGCUUACUUGGAAGCGGGAAAUAGCCCAGCAGGACACGCGCGUGCUAGCCUGCAUUUUACUUGCUUCUGGUUCACGGGCCGAACUGGGCCUAAUUUCUCACAGAAGUUAUUAUCAGAUAAUAUAAGUACUCCUUCUACUAAAGAAAAAAAGAUAAUUAGUACUCCUAAUUCUCCAAAACAAAGAUAAUAAAUAAUUGUCGUUUUACCAUAAGUAUAUAUAUAGUCAAAGUUAUUUUUCAGAAAGCGAUGAUCAUAACUACUCCCUCUAUUCAAAAUUAUAAGACGUUCUGUUUUUUAGAUGUAUAAUUUUUGCUAUAUACUUAGAUAUACACUAUGGGCAUGUUUGGUUCCCCUUGCUAAAUUUUACCUAACUAAAAUAUUUUAGCUUUUUUUAGUCAAUGUGUUUGGAAGUUUACCUACUAAAGUGAUUAAAGUUUAGCUGACUAAAAUUUAGCAAGGGGAACCAAACAAACUCUAUAUCUUGAUCUACAUAGUUAAAGUAAUAUCUAGAAAAGCCAAGGCUUAGAGCAAGAGGAAGUGCUAUACUAGAGUACCCACUAAAAUCCUGUGACCUUGUUCCCACGAGAUAUUUCUGCUUGACAACUGAACUUGCAGCACUCUGCAGCUGCAUCGUUUCCGCUUUAGUUGUCAGCCACAUCCGUUGCCAUCUUGGCAUCCAUCCUUCUCUGGCUCUGUUGAUCCAAAGUUCCAAACCCUUUGCUGGUGACGGACGCCUAACUCCCUUGUGAUGCUGUUGCUGUGUUGCAGUUGCUGCCAGACACCAAUGAUCAUCCAUUCAUCCAUUCAUCUUAUAUGUAUUAACAAAUUGCUAUCGGGCUAUGGCCCAACCAGCCAACCAGGCAGACAGGGACUGACGCCAUUGCUUCAAGUGCUGCCCUGCCCUGCCCUGCCCUGCCCGUUUCAGUCGCUGAAUGCAUCAAGCCGAGCGCGAGCAAUUCCAGGCACAUCCACAUCCACUGACCUCCAAUGGACAGUACUACUGGACUGAGGGUUUCCUUCCUGUACAUCCAGGGAGUAGCUCUCUCGCUGUCAGUGUCACACCCGCUGGCUGCCGCAUGCAGUUUCCUUGCCGGGCGAUCGAAAAACGAACUCAACUUGGCCCUCUCGCCCCCGUGGGCGUGGGCCGGCCGGGCGUCCUGAUCACGGUCACCGCCAUGGCGUUUUCACGGGCUGCGGGCAGAAACCCGCCGGAAUCCCAUUCCCAUCUAAACAGCUAGCAAUAGCAACCCCGUCCUCUCUGAAAGACUGAAACCAUUCUUGGUCUCUUUCAGGCUUUCAGCUCGUUCGAUCGAUCUGAUAGAUGUCUGAAUCUUUUCCCCGUCGUCGUCGGCGGCCGGUGAGCCACAAACAAAGACCGGCCGGCGCGGUGGACUUGUAUGGGCCGCAGCCGGCGUGUACUACAGUGCUGCCUGUGACGGCUGACGCUAUAAAGCCAGCAGACGAAUUCGUCUUCCUCCUUUCCGUUCGGCCGUUCCGGUAAUGGCAGCAGCGUGCCUAGCUGGCGUUGUCACACACAGUCUGUCAGCUACUACCUCUCACUCUCAUCUGUGUGGCUCCAAGAGAGGCGCCAUGCAUGCAUGCACCACAACUGUGGCCUAUUUUCUGGUGGCUGGCCGGAAGGCUCGGUCCUCCCGGCCUUUCGCUGUCGGCAAUCGCGGGAAUUAAAGGAAAGAUGACAUUUGGUAUGGUGCCUUUCGAGAGACACACAUGCAAGUUGUUCUCGAUCGUCCCUCGCUAGCUGGGAGCCUGGGACUGUGUAUAGCCGACCGUUGGGCAGCCAUUGUUGUUUUCAUGUAGUAAAUUAGAAGUGUAAAUACGUAGUUUUGUGACUUUCAUGGUUUCAUCUGGCUUAGAGCAUCUCUAAAUAUUUGCUAUGAUUUACUUGCUGAACCAAUAACUUUAGAAAAGUUACUUGCCAAGAAUCAAUCAAUGGAUAGCAAGUCUGCAGUUGCUCGGUGGUGCACCCUUGUAGCUUUAAUCUGGUAAAGUUUAAUUUGCUCUUAGGGCAUGUGCCCUCACUCUCCCACCCAAUGGAUUCGCUUUGAGAAGUAUGCAAACACACAUUUCAAUGCGAAACAGCUUUGAGAUGUGUGUAUUUGCACACUUCUCAAAGCGAAUCCAAUGGGUGAGAGAGUGAGGGCAUGUGCCCUUAGGGUAAAAAACCGCCUUCAAUGUAAUCUUCUUUGUUUCCUUCCUUGUUUCUUGAAAACCCUGUCCUUUGUACCUGCGUUUUUUUACUGUUCUUUCAAUAAAAUUGUUGUAGGGGUGCAAACCCCUCUAGUUUUGCCUAAAAAAAAACUUUAGAAACUUAACUAGAUAAGUUGAAACCUCUAUCCUUCUCCCUCUCCAAUAAUUUCCUAUAUGAACUCCCCUAAACAAAAAAAGAAAAAGAAAAAGAAAAAAUAACCACAUAUUUGAGGAAGUGGAAAGAUAUAUGAAAGAAGAUUUUGACUAAUUGACAGAUGGAUUCCAGUUAAUAAAGGAUGAGGUUUUCUCAAUCUGCAGCUGCAGCAGUCUUUUAUAACACAAAACUCUCAGUAGACUCGGUCUAUCCAAAAAGGAAAGGAGUAUAUAACACAAAACUCUCAGGAGAAUAAGAGAGAUCUAUAUGUGCCAUAUACGCAUACGCUUUGCCAUGCCAACUUGCCAAGGCAUAUCCGGAUAUCCAUCCACAUCCCAAAUAAAGCGGCUAAGCCUGGCAUCGAUGCUAAUUGCAUAGUCUGAUGAAAGUCUGAAACGGAAACCACUGGAAGGCAACUGUAAUGAAAGUUCAGCUGUCUGGUCUUCACUAUCUCCUGCUAGAGCGCCAAAGUCAGCAGCACAACAGUAGAGAACAACAUGCAAACGCAAAGCAUCUCUGUAUGUCAAAUUCGAAAGCGAAAAUUUAUCGAUUGGCUCGCGUGCGGUUCUGAAAAUUGUUCUAAUGUGAGAGACCAAGUUGUACUUGCCAACAAGAAUGAAUCAUGCUUCAACUUGCGACGCUGAUGCUCUUGGACCAUUGCGCAAAGUCUUGGGCAUGCAUGCAUACGCCAUACAUGAUACAUGCCAAACGGCGACCCUAGAAAAGCAGCCUAGCACAUCCAAAGAGCUAGCAUCAUCUGAACCAAUGCAUUAUGUAUGUCUGUAUGAACACUGAUCCUAUGGGUUUAUGGAUGUGGUCAUUCAGUCCAUGUCCAUGACGAAGACAUCUGUUGCAAUUUCAACUCUGGAAUAAUCCAGUUUCGCUCCUUGUCAACUCUAUCUUAUUAUAAUACCUAUUUAACCCAAAUUAAAGAAAUGGAAACCCCUGUUCUAUCAGCAGCUUCAUGCAUAGGUAUGUGUCUGCAAUCUUCAUAGUUUCGAUCUGCAAGUCUGCAACCGAAAUAUAUAUGAUAUUACCACAAGACAAAAUUAAGUUUACAUGUAGGCUAAGAAUAUAUAAUCCUUGCAUUGCAUUCAUUCUUUGGAUUGGUCCUUCAACUCCAAGUGGCUCCUGGCUGACGUGCGUGCGUUAAAAAGAUCCAUUCGGUCUUAUGGUUGCUACCUCUGACGGAUGCAGAAACUUGUAUUGUAGUGUGUCAGGAAAAAAGAAAACCCAUGAUGUGGAUCGAGUGAACCGGAUUUGUUUGAUGAGAAAUUGAGAAGGUGACAGGAUCAUGGAGAGGCCAUCGACGAUGGCUCGCGCGUCCUAGUCACGCCCACGUGGCAACGCUGACAGGGGCCGGGGUUUGGUUAGUCUGUUCCUUUCCCUGCCCUCCUAAUGACAUUGCCAUGCCAUCAUGACAGUUGACAUCCCAUUUCCCAAUUAAUCAUGGCAUUGCAUGUUACUUACUUAGGCAUCCAACAGUGUUGAUUGGGUACCUUUCACUCUUCAUCUUUAAUUCAUUCCUGCAAGGCUCCAUGCAUGCCCUGAUGAGCUGAGCUGAGCAACGACAGUCGGCAGCGCCUUCACACUGGCCAUUGCAUGCAUCAGAUAUUCAGAGUUCAGACUCCUCUCUCUCUCUCUCCAAUACAAUUCUGAACAUGAUGCAUGCCAGGCUGGUAGAGAGAGAGAGAGAGAGAGAGAGAGAGAGAGAGAGAGAGAGAGAGAGAGAGAGAGAGAGAGAGAGAGUUCAGAGCAGAAUCCAUAGCAGUUAGCUUAGCAAUGUCACAAGAAAUAUGUGAGGCUGAUCACUGAUGGUGUGCCUUUGUCUUGUUGCAGGGAUGGAGGAAUAUAUGGAGCUACAGCGAAGGGAUCAACAGCUGUCAACCCCAAAAUUGGUGGUCUCCAUCGGCUGCAACUGCAUGCAUGUCCAUCUUGCACGAUCUGUCCGUACGGAAAAAGGACGCCAUCCGUAUACAUGUAUCUUCCUUUCUCGAUAUGCAUGCCGGCCGAAAAGUAGUAGAGUCGAAAUAAUAGCUUGCUGUAAGGUUUUUAUAGUCUUCUUUUCAGUCUAUCCAUACAAUAGUUAGAUAUUCACUAUUAAUAAAUGACUCAUUUAUCUCUCUCAUAAAAUUUUUUAGUUUCUAUGCUUAAGCUAGCUGUAAACUUACAGCUUCUCCUCUCUCUCCUCCCUUCUUUUCUUUAACUCGGUAUUUAGCUGGCUUAAUUAUAACCCACUAUAAUACUUACUCUAAUGCUUCUUGUUCAUUCUUCAUCCCUUAAUUUAUUUAUUAUCCGACAGAUAUAUGCCAAUAUAAAUAAUGUGUGUUCUCCUAAUUAAGCCUAGUAGUCGGAAAGAUAUUUUUGAGUACAUGUAUCAUGGGCUCACGGUUUGCAUGUUAGGUCUUGUUUGGC